RNAcentral lists this long non-coding RNA (488 nucleotides) under Hordeum vulgare. Its description in RNAcentral is "long non-coding RNA (HVUL_LNC012721)". The record is from RNAcentral. Lineage: Eukaryota; Viridiplantae; Streptophyta; Magnoliopsida; Poales; Poaceae.
UAUAAAAUAACAUAUCCAGUAGCCUUCAAAUUUUCUUGGAUCAUUAGGAAAUUGUGUAAGGAAAAUUUGCACUUUUUGUACGUGCAGCCAACCAAGAUGUUUUUCCUUGAAAAACCCUACUUCCAGCCUAAUCUAUGGCCUCAUGGGAAUACAAGUUGCAUAUUCCUAACAACAAGAUCUUUGUAUCAGCAAUUGGGCAUAAGCUCAAAGACCACCUUAUGCUUCUUCUCUAUAAAAUAACAUAUCCAGUAGCCUUCAAAUUUUCUUGGAUCAUUAGGAAAUUGUGUAAGGAAAAUUUGCACUUUUUGUACGUGCAGCCAACCAAGAUGUUUUUCCUUGAAAAAACCUACUUCCAGCCUAAUACGUAUUGACCUGACUGUGGAAGGGAUUCAAUAUAGUGUUGUAAUAGUACCUGCAGAUUAUUUGAUUGAGUUCUAGUUCACAGAUUUAUAUGUGAUUUCUCAUUUUAUGUUUACUCACUUAUCAGG